UGUAGCUCAGUGACACAGCUUCUGCUUGGCAAGCAGAAGGUCCUAGUUCAAUCCCAGGUA
This 60-nucleotide transfer RNA is filed under the name Fukomys damarensis (Damara mole-rat). It matches the Rfam family "tRNA", at positions 6 to 65 of the family's 71-position model. From Rfam's summary of the family: Transfer RNA (tRNA) molecules are approximately 80 nucleotides in length. Their secondary structure includes four short double-helical elements and three loops (D, anti-codon, and T loops). Lineage: Eukaryota; Metazoa; Chordata; Mammalia; Rodentia; Bathyergidae. The record is from Rfam by way of RNAcentral.